This 253-nucleotide ribosomal RNA is filed under the name uncultured bacterium. RNAcentral's name for it is "partial 16S ribosomal RNA". It matches the Rfam family "Bacterial small subunit ribosomal RNA", at positions 524 to 776 of the family's 1533-position model. The record is from RNAcentral.
UACGGAGGGUGCAAGCGUUAAUCGGCAUUACUGGGCGUAAAGCGCACGCAGGUGGCUGAGUCAGUCGGAUGUGAAAGCCCUGGGCUUAACCUGGGAAUUGCAUUCGAUACUACUCAGCUAGAGUAUGGGAGAGGGAAGUGGAAUUCCCGGUGUAGCGGUGAAAUGCGUAGAUAUCGGGAGGAACAUCAGUGGCGAAGGCGGCUUCCUGGCACAAUACUGACGCUCAGGUGCGACAGCGUGGGGAGCAAACAGG